GGAUGUGAGGGCGAUCUGGCUGCGACAUCUGUCACCCCAGGGUUGAUUUGGCUGAUCUGGCUGGCUAGGCGGGUGUCCCCUUCCGCCCUCACCGCUCCAUGUGCGUCCCUCCAGAAGCUGCGCACUCUGUUGAAGAGGAAGACCUUCCCUGAGUAGAGACAGACCGGUCUUAGGUCGAGGGUAUAGGAGUAGCUGCGCUCCCCUGCUAGAACCUCCAAACAAACUCUCAAUGCUGGAAUAGUUCAGAUGAAGUGUUGUGGGGGGGUUCCUACAUUUUGUAGAUAGCUAGUAGGUGUAUUUUAGUUAUUUUU
This is a non-coding RNA of Erinaceus europaeus (western European hedgehog), 311 nucleotides long. The record is from Rfam. NCBI's taxonomy places the organism in Eukaryota, Metazoa, Chordata, Mammalia, Eulipotyphla, Erinaceidae.